This 1605-nucleotide long non-coding RNA is filed under the name Nicotiana benthamiana. RNAcentral describes it as "long non-coding RNA (NBEN_LNC021843)". Lineage: Eukaryota; Viridiplantae; Streptophyta; Magnoliopsida; Solanales; Solanaceae. The record is from RNAcentral.
AAAGAAAUGAGGAAAAUGAGAGAGUACUUCACUGCUCAACAAUCACAUGUCCCGCUUACGACGACAUCGCCUGUUUCAAUUGAAUGACCACUGUUUUUGUCUGCUGACCAAGUUAGUCACUAUAUACCCGACUUUCUAAUUUUUUUUCAAGAUUUGCAUAUAGCCAAUCUUGGCUAAUAAACUCAUAAUUUGGUAAUUUAUUCCUUUUGAUUUUUGGAACUCAAGAUUUCUGGGUUAAGCAUUAAAUAGAUCAUUAGCAACAUCUCUGAAGUUGGUUGUGUGCCAUUUUUUGAAGUCAAAGGGCAGUAAAUUUGUUACUUUAGUUUGUUAUUCUAGCUGGUUGCUCUUUGUGUAUGAGUCUGAGGGUUCUAUCUCUUUUUUGCAUUGUUGAAGUUAAAAGCAUUCCUGUUUCUGGUACUUUAACUCCAAAAGUAUGAGCCACAUCUGAUUGAUUACAAGUAGAAAUCGAUUACUUAUAGCAGAAAAUUCUGCCAUAAAUUUUUCUUCACUUCUUGUUUUUGUGUUUUCUGAAAAGUUUCAAGUAUUGAUCUACCAUUGCAUUACUAAUACUACUAUAGAAAAAAUGUACUCUACGCUUUUCUACAACCUACUUUAUUCAUACAUUUUGCUUAACUUGGCUACGAAGCAUUUAUAUAUUGCUGAUACAACACACUUGUCCGAUGUUUCUAGAGCUCUUCACAACAUUUCCCUUUCAUGUCCUUAGCUGGUUGGGGAUCGUAACGAUGCUGUAUUUGGUGGCCUAGUUGAUGCACCUUUAAGGGAAACUAUAUCAGCCAAAACUAGUUGAUAGAAAUCAAAAUAGCUGGGACAAUAGCUUUCCUAACAGUGGCAGAUUCUAAAGCAUAACAAGCAAAAAUCCCUGUUGCAUUCAAUGGAACAGUUGGUUCACAUUUGAAUCCCUCUCAGCUGCAGUAACGACCUGCUUAUUACAAUCUGUAGAAGCUCUUUUAACAUGGCUAUUUCCUAACAGUAAGAGACUCUAAAGUUCAACUACUGCUUGGUUUAACAUGGCUGUUUGUGGACCAGCAAUGGUUGUUUAUCGCUAGCGUCUCUAGUAGAUGUCUACCAAAUACAUCAAUUUCCUAAAUUAGAAUCUUUAAAGAUUGAAAUGACUGUAAUGAUGAAACAGUAGUAUUUUGUCAUUGACUGAUUUUACACAACCUAAAUGCCUGAAUUGAACACUGAACUUCCCAGGCUCUUGGUCAAGCUAGAAAUUAGCCUAGUGAUGUUGUCUGUUCAUAAUAGUUGGUAUCUCGAAUGGUAAAUCUCGAAUUGUCGUAGUGAAAUUUAUCAAACCAAAGUAAGAUUAACCAUUCCAAAGCAUUUCUAAUUAAUUUUUCUUAUAUUCUUGUAGCCUUGUUGAUGUUGCUGGAUAACACCUCGUGCAUUUAGACUGCUUUUGGGGUUUAACUAUUGCUCAUUUUAAAUUAUAAAUGUUAUUUUACCAAUACUUUUUUAUCAUUAUUUUUCAAUCUUUUGUACUUAUAGGUUUUGAAGAUUGAAGCUACAAGUCAAGGUGCAAGCCUAGAGAUGCACAAGCUCAUUAUUAUUUUGCUAAAAAUGUCAUGCAAAACUUGAUAUUAG